This 282-nucleotide unclassified non-coding RNA is filed under the name Tarzetta sp. RNAcentral describes it as "partial contains 5.8S ribosomal RNA, internal transcribed spacer 2, and large subunit ribosomal RNA". RNAcentral also lists the same sequence under 1 other name. Lineage: Eukaryota; Fungi; Ascomycota; Pezizomycetes; Pezizales; Tarzettaceae. The record is from RNAcentral.
AACGCACAUUGCGCCCCACGGUAUUCCGCGGGGCAUGCCUGUUCGAGCGUCAUCAACACCGCUCAGGCCGGGGUUCCUUCAACAAAGAAACCAUCGGCUUGGUCUUGGGCCGGAGGGAACGAACACCCUCCGCCUGCAAUCCAGUGGCAAACAUCCGGCGUGGCAAGAGCGUGAUAAACGUGUCAAAAUCGCUAUUGACGACCGGAAUGUUUGGCCGUAACCCCCACAUUUGUAUUUUUCCAGUUUGACCUCGGAUCAGGUAGGGAUACCCGCUGAACUUAA